UAUAAAAGGAAAACAUAAAAACGCAACGUUUUACUUUUGUUUUAUUGCAUAAAAUUUUGGCUGAGAAAAAGCGUAUUAAAAAUCCAAAAAAGUCUUCUACAAAAGAAUGUGUGAAAUUAACAUCUUAUUACUACAAAUUAACAUAUUAUAAAAAAGGCAGUCAGACGCAAAAUGAAAGCAUGAGCAGAUUUCAAUAGAACUCGUACAAGAACAAUCACUAGUAAUUUUUUAUGACAAUUAUAAUCCCUCUGAUAUAUUCUCACAAACUUUUUGGGAAAAAAGUUGGACAAGUUAUCGUCUACAUUAUUGCGACCACUAAUCAUCAACAAAACGACAUUCAAAUAGUUAAAGAACGCUCGAAAACGAUGUCAGGUGUUGAGAACGCUCAAUUUUUUGACAUUGAAAAUGUCAUUACUAUUAGUAUAAACAUAAGGAAUAUUGAGUAAAAUAUAAUUAAGAUGUCGCCUGAAAUCAAAAUUCAAUACAUCACAAAACAUAAUAUACCACCCAAUUUUUCAAAAAUUUUUAGAUCAAUUAUGUGGGCGAAUGUUAAUUGGGAAUGCCAUUCUACUGUACAGCAAGGUUUGUUUUGCGGCCCUUGUGCUUUGUUUUUUUUUUAAAAAGAGAUGAUAAAGGGUCUUUGGUUAAUACACCCUUUAAUAAUUGGAAUAAGUUUAAAGAAAAAGUAGAUUAUCACAAAAAUAGAGUUUAUCACAUACGUUUUUGAACGAAUAUUAUAAUAUUCAAUCAACACUUUAAAUGUUUCUUUAAUAUUUCACAGUCAAUUAAGUAAAGAACUUGCUGAACAAAUCAAAUGCAAUACAAAAUUUUUGAAAUGUAUAAUGAAAGCUGAUAUUUAUUGUGGAAAACGAUGUAUAACUCUGCGUGCGACGCUUGAAAAUUGUUUUUUGAUAAGAAACAUGAGAUAUACAAAAAGUUUGUAAAGUUCGAGAGUGUAAGAGUCAAAGAUGUUAUUCAGCAAAAUUUACAUGACAUUAAUUCAAAUAUUGAAAAUAUAUAAGACCAAGCAUACUACAGUGCAGCAUCAAUUGCAGGUUCGUUAUCAGAUGUACAACCCAAAUUUCUGAGCAUUCAACCAAAAGCAACAUACACCCAUGGCGCGUGUCAUUGACUGAACAUGGUUACUAGUCAUUCUUGUAAAAUAUCUGAAAUAAAGUAUAUGUCAGAUAUAAUGGAGAAAUUUACGACAUGGAUGAAAAAUAACGCAAACCAAACACAACUUUUUAACAUGGUGUGCUAAAACAAAAAUCAAUUUCACACAUUAAAAACACCGAAAAUUCUUACUAAUAUUUUUUUACAAGAUGGAUUGAAAAUUUAGAUGGCUGGGAAAAAUUUCGUUUAGCUUAUCCGUUUCUGAUAAUAUUUUGCAAAGUCAUUUCUAAGAACCGAUGUGACAAUAAAAAUGAAUAUGCCAAAUGGCUGCAUCAGUGGACUGCUAAAGACACACAUCAAGUACUGUUUUUUCUGAAAGCGUUUGGGAGUUUUAAUUUUAUUAUAAAAAAUAAAAUCAAAAAUAAAUUAUUCUUCCUCGACCUGUCAAAGGAUUUUCAAUUCGUAUGAUGCGUUCUGAUUAUACCUGUCAAAGGAUUUUCAAUUCGUAUGAUGCGUUCUGAUUAUACCUCAAAAGGACGAUGACCUUUUAUUUGUCGGAGAACAUUUUCUACCCAUUGUUUCAAUCAAAGACAACUCAACAACCUGUGGGAAGAUGUUGAGUGAGUGAAUUUACAUAAUAGGUAUAGAAUAAAAUUUGCUUAUGUUUGAUUAGUUUGUUCAUUAUUUGAUGAGAUAUCAAAUGUUCUACAAUAUAAUUUGCUGAGAUCUAUUUCUGUAUAAAUGUAUAGUUUAAUUGUAAAAAAUCAAUGGUGCUGA
Non-coding RNA from Hydra vulgaris (swiftwater hydra), 1890 nucleotides. The record is from RefSeq and is a predicted model, not a curated record. Lineage: Eukaryota; Metazoa; Cnidaria; Hydrozoa; Anthoathecata; Hydridae.